GAUCCUGGCUCAGGACGAACGCUGGCGGCGUGCCUAACACAUGCAAGUCGAACGGAGUUUGAAGGGCUUGCCCUUCAAACUUAGUGGCGGACGGGUGAGUAACGCGUGAGUAACCUGCCUCUCAGAGGGGGAUAACGUUCUGAAAAGGACGCUAACACCGCAUGACAUUCCGGGGCCGCAUGGCCUUGGGAUCAAAGGAGCAAUCCGCUGAGAGAUGGACUCGCGUCCGAUUAGCUAGUUGGUGAG
Molecule: ribosomal RNA, 246 nt
Filed under: uncultured bacterium
Lineage: Bacteria
Description: partial 16S ribosomal RNA
Rfam family: Bacterial small subunit ribosomal RNA
Source: RNAcentral